RNAcentral lists this ribosomal RNA (2517 nucleotides) under Triticum aestivum (bread wheat). RNAcentral describes it as "partial small subunit ribosomal RNA". The record is from RNAcentral. Lineage: Eukaryota; Viridiplantae; Streptophyta; Magnoliopsida; Poales; Poaceae.
AUGGCAGUACUUGUCUUCUGGCGAGAUGAGGGCGAAGAAGGAGAUGCAUGGCAGUUUAUCAUGACAGGAAUGGUUACAGAAUUGGACAAGCCAGGAGCAGAAACCGCAGACAACUCCACAAAAAAGAGAAGGACAUGCCGUGUAGCUGACGAUCAAGGUUCCCCUGUACCAGAGUUGCAUAGGAAAAAGGCCAGUAAAAAUGCUGCGGAAACAAUGUCGUCUGCAAGUGAAUUAAGCAAGGAACCUGUAGGGAAACAAUCAAUGACAGAAGAAAGACCAGAACCAACAGGUGAUAGUUAUGAGGAACUAUCUUCAGAUAGUAUUGAAAAGAAUACAGAUGGAGUAUUAGCAGAUGAAGCAGAUAAAGAAACCAACUCAGUCGACCAUUCACUGCAGCAAGCCGAAGAACAGAACCAACUACACGAUAAUGUGGAAAACAUUGAAAUGGUAAACAGGAACCCCAGUGAAAGUGAUUCAGACAGCAGCUCAGGGAGCGACUCAGACAGUGAACUAGGGAAAUACUUUUAUCCUAAAUUUGAGGAAUUGGAGGCUGCAAGAAAACCAGAACCUGGAAUGAAGUUUCAAACCCUCGAAGAUGCAAACGGAUUCUAUAGUACUUAUGCUCUCCUGACUGGUUUUGUGGCAAAGCGAAAUUCUAAUUACAGGAGAAAGAAGUAUCACAUAGAGUGCAACAGGAGUGGCAAACCAACACCAGCUCGGAACCCAAACAGGAAGAGGAAAAUAAAUUCCUUUGAGAGGACAAAUUGCCAAGCAAAGGUGAUAGUGAAGCUCACUAAGGGACAAUGGGAAUUCGCAACUGUUCGGAAUGAGCACAACCAUCCGCUAUGUCCAAACCCUUCCCUCGCAAGAUUUUUCCUGAGCCAGAAACACAUGUCAAGUGAGGAAAAGUCGUUUCUAAAAGUUCUGCAGCAAUGUAAGAUACCUCCCAGUAAAAUUCUGAGGAUUUUUAGGAGAAUGAGAAGUAGUUUUGGAAAUAUAUCAUUCAAAAAACAAGGUCCAGUCAGUUCUGCGAGAAGCAGUUCUGAAAACAUACCGUCCAAGAAAAAAGAUCCAGUCAGUUUACAGUGUACAGAACAACGGAAAACAGAAAACUCAGAUGUUGAAAGUGCAUUGAAGCACUUCAAAGAAUUGGAGCUGCGGAACCCAAGUUUUUUCUACAUCAAGCAAACAGAUGAAGACAACGUAGUCCGCAGUAUUUUCUGGACUGAUGCGAGGUCAAGGAUGGAUUAUGAUAUUUUUGGAGAUUUCAUCUCGGUUGAUACAACUUACACCACAAAUAGGCAUAAUUUGCCUGUUGCUACCAUUAUUGGGAUAAAUAAUCAUGGGAGAACUCUCUUGUUAGGAUGCGCCCUGCUACGCGAUGGGAGAGCUGAAACCUUCAAAUGGAUGUUCCAAACACUUUUGCAAGUGAUGGGAGGAAAAAUACCAGGAUCAAUCAUUACAAACCAGGAUGAACCCCUAGGAAGAGCAAUUGCAGAGGUCCUGCCACAGGUAAGACUCAGGUUUUGGAAAUGUGAUGUAAUGGGUAAAGCACAUGAAAGGAUAGCAGCCUUCAUGGCAGCAAGAGGCAACAUAAAACUAGAGCUGGAUAGCUUAGUUGACAACUCGUUGACGGAAAUGGAAUUUGAAGAAGGAUGGAGUUCACUUAUUGAGAGAUACGAUGCAAGUAAAAAUGAGUACCUGCAAUUCAUGUGGCGGAUAAGGAAAAUCUGGGCGCCUGUUUAUUUCAGACAAGAUUUCUAUCCAUUUGCCGAAUCACUUGGACGUGGUGAAGGUAUGAACAUCGUAUUAUUCAGAAACUAUGUGCUUCCAAAGGACAGAAUUGAGAAGUUCAUCGAAAGAUACGAGGAGAUACAGAAGACUACACUAAAAACGGAUGACGAAGAUAGACGGCAAGCAAGAACUGUACCUUCAUGCUUCUCAUUGCAGCCAAUAGAAAAGCAUGCAUCUACUAUUUACACGAGGCAGAUAUUCCUGAAAGUGCAGAGAGAACUACUCCAUUCUACGGCGUUCGACGUGCAGGUGGUAAAGAAAGGGUCUGUGUACCGACUGGAGAGGGCUUUCAACUACGAGAACCCAGAGUUUGAUAGAAAUGCCUUCGAAGUGUUUGUUGAUCCUGUCAGCAACACAUUCAUAUGCCAAUGCGCAAAGUUUGCCAGAGAUAGAUUACUGUGCUGCCACAUAUUCAGGCUUUUCACGCAGCUUGGAAUCAACGAAAUCCCCGCGCAAUACAUCGUCCCCAGAUGGACCGACAAAUUCAAGGAAGAGAAGGCGAAGCAGUACACGGAGAAAUGCCUAGAGAAGGCAGACAGCACAGCGAGAUAUGAAAUGUUGAUGAGCAAAAUGGCCGACCUCAGCAAGAAGAUAUGCAGCGAUGGCGCGAAAUGCAACACAUUCAUGCUCGAGUUCGACAGUAUUCAAGAGAAACUGCUAGCAACAGAAGGAGAAAAUCCUCGCAACAGUGACAACUGUAUGGAGAUUAUUACUACCAGCUAG